This 253-nucleotide ribosomal RNA is filed under the name uncultured bacterium. RNAcentral's name for it is "partial 16S ribosomal RNA". It matches the Rfam family "Bacterial small subunit ribosomal RNA", at positions 524 to 776 of the family's 1533-position model. The record is from RNAcentral.
UACGAAGGGGGCUAGCGUUGUUCGGAAUUACUGGGCGUAAAGCGCGCGUAGGCGGCUUCUCAAGUCAGGGGUGAAAGCCCAGAGCUCAACUCUGGAAUUGCCUUUGAGACUGAGUGGCUUGAGUACGAGAGAGGUGAGUGGAAUUCCCAGUGUAGAGGUGAAAUUCGUAGAUAUUGGGAAGAACACCGGUGGCGAAGGCGGCUCACUGGCUCGUAACUGACGCUCAUGCACGACAGCGUGGGGAUCAAACAGG